UGGCUCAGUGGUUAAGAGCACUGACUGCUCUUCCAGCAGAGGGCCUGGGUUCAAUUCCCAG
This 61-nucleotide transfer RNA is filed under the name Neotoma lepida (desert woodrat). Lineage: Eukaryota; Metazoa; Chordata; Mammalia; Rodentia; Cricetidae. The record is from Rfam by way of RNAcentral.